RNAcentral lists this ribosomal RNA (289 nucleotides) under uncultured Sphingobacterium sp. RNAcentral describes it as "partial 16S ribosomal RNA". Lineage: Bacteria; Pseudomonadati; Bacteroidota; Sphingobacteriia; Sphingobacteriales; Sphingobacteriaceae. The record is from RNAcentral.
CUACCAGGGUAUCUAAUCCUGUUCGAUCCCCACGCUUUCGUGCAUCAGCGUCAAUAACGGCUUAGACAGCUGCCUUCGCAAUCGGUGUUCUGAGACAUAUCUAUGCAUUUCACCGCUACUUGUCUCAUUCCGCCGUCUUCAACCGCAUUCAAGCACUUCAGUAUCAAGGGCACUGCGACAGUUGAGCUGCCGUCUUUCACCCCUGACUUAAAGUGCCGCCUACGCACCCUUUAAACCCAAUAAAUCCGGAUAACGCUCGGAUCCUCCGUAUUACCGCGGCUGCUGGCAC